UGCAAGUCGAGCGGUAAGGCCCUUCGGGGUACACGAGCGGCGAACGGGUGAGUAACACGUGGGUGAUCUGCCUCGUACUCUGGGAUAAGCCUGGGAAACUGGGUCUAAUACCGGAUAUGACCACGAAUCGCAUGGUUUGUGGUGGAAAGAUUUAUCGGUGCGAGAUGGGCCCGCGGCCUAUCAGCUUGUUGGUGGGGUAAUGGCCUACCAAGGCGACGACGGGUAGCCGGCCUGAGAGGGCGACCGGCCACACUGGGACUGAGACACGGCCCAGACUCCUACGGGAGGCAGCAGUGGGGAAUAUUGCACAAUGGGCGGAAGCCUGAUGCAGCGACGCCGCGUGAGGGAUGACGGCCUUCGGGUUGUAAACCUCUUUCGACAGGGACGAAGCGCAAGUGACGGUACCUGUAGAAGAAGCACCGGCCAACUACGUGCCAGCAGCCGCGGUAAUACGUAGGGUGCGAGCGUUGUCCGGAAUUACUGGGCGUAAAGAGCUUGUAGGCGGUUCGUCGCGUCGAUCGUGAAAACUUGCAGCUCAACUGCGAGCUUGCGGUCGAUACGGGCGGACUAGAGUACUGCAGGGGAGACUGGAAUUCCUGGUGUAGCGGUGAAAUGCGCAGAUAUCAGGAGGAACACCGGUGGCGAAGGCGGGUCUCUGGG
This 660-nucleotide ribosomal RNA is filed under the name Nocardia sp. JSM 082050. Its description in RNAcentral is "bacterial SSU rRNA". It matches the Rfam family "Bacterial small subunit ribosomal RNA", at positions 56 to 733 of the family's 1533-position model. The record is from RNAcentral. Lineage: Bacteria; Bacillati; Actinomycetota; Actinomycetes; Mycobacteriales; Nocardiaceae.